AGCUCCAAUAGCGUAUAUUAAAGUUGUUACAGUUAAAAAGCUCGUAGUUGGAUUUGGGGCGGGGGUCGCGCGGUCGGCCGCAAGGUCUGCUACUGUGCGGCCUCGUCAUUUACACUCUCGGAGACCCGUCGUGCACUUCGCUGUGCGCGGCGCGGGACUCGGGACGUUUACUUUGAAAAAAUUAGAGUGUUCAAAGCAGGCUUCAUCAAGCCUGGAUACAUGAGCAUGGAAUAAUGGAAUAGGACCGCGGUUCUAUUUUGUUGGUUUCUACGACCGCAGUAAUGAUUAAGAGGGACAAUCGGGGGCGUCCGUAUUUCGUUGUCAGAGGUGAAAUUCUUGGAUUUACGAAAGACGAACAACUGCGAAAGCAUUCGCCAAGAGUGUUUUCAUUAAUCAAGAA
This 400-nucleotide ribosomal RNA is filed under the name phytoplankton environmental sample. RNAcentral describes it as "partial small subunit ribosomal RNA". It matches the Rfam family "Eukaryotic small subunit ribosomal RNA", at positions 587 to 983 of the family's 1831-position model. The record is from RNAcentral.